This 427-nucleotide ribosomal RNA is filed under the name uncultured bacterium. RNAcentral describes it as "partial 16S ribosomal RNA". It matches the Rfam family "Bacterial small subunit ribosomal RNA", at positions 355 to 774 of the family's 1533-position model. The record is from RNAcentral.
UGGGGAAUAUUGCACAAUGGGCGCAAGCCUGAUGCAGCCAUGCCGCGUGUAUGAAGAAGGCCUUCGGGUUGUAAAGUACUUUCAGCGAGGAGGAAGGCGUUGUGGUUAAUAACCGCAACGAUUGACGUUACUCGCAGAAGAAGCACCGGCUAACUCCGUGCCAGCAGCCGCGGUAAUACGGAGGGUGCAAGCGUUAAUCGGAAUUACUGGGCGUAAAGCGCACGCAGGCGGUCUGUCAAUUCGGAUGUGAAAUCCCCGGGCUCAACCUGGGAACUGCAUCCGAAACUGGCAGGCUAGAGUCUUGUAGAGGGGGGUAGAAUUCCAGGUGUAGCGGUGAAAUGCGUAGAGAUCUGGAGGAAUACCGGUGGCGAAGGCGGCCCCCUGGACAAAGACUGACGCUCAGGUGCGAAAGCGUGGGGAGCAAACA